ACACAUUCUUGACACACAGUAUCAAGAGCUUCUUAAAUAGUGCAAUGUACUACGACUGAUGAAAACUGGCCACUAGCAGUUGAAAAUCUUGCAUUUUAUCAUUUGUCCCUUCACCAUAGUCUGUAUUUGAGGAGGAAAAUAGAGACUUUGACAUAAGCAAAAGUGAAGAGGUCUCAGCUGCCAGAUUAUUGCCAUCUUUCCAUAAGCCACACCGUUAAAUUCAGCUGUUAAGCAUAUGUGUUUCCAAGGUGAAGCAUCUAGGAAAAACAGGAGAUGGGACAUAGACAUGGAAAAGUUUAUUAAAAUAUAUGUUGAGCUGGUAUUUCAAUUCCUCUUCAUGGAAAGCUGCUCUUUGCCUUGUGGCCUCCUAAGCACUCUUUGUCAAAUUGUCACUUUUGACUGCAAUCACAAGCAAUCCUCAAAUCAUCCACAGAGCUGGGGUGCAGCUCAGUGGUGGAGCACUUGCCUAGCAUGCACCAGGCCCUGGGUUCCAUCCCCACCACUGUGGGGGAGAAAAAGAAACACAUUGACAAUCCACCCAUCAUUUCUGCCCCCAGACUCUUUAUCUCAUUAUGAAUCUUAAAAAUUAGAUGACUCUAAAAUAUAUCCUGUCAAAAACUUAUUGCACUUGGAACUCAAUCUAAUGAUUAGAUACACAUUUACUCUUAAAAACUUAGAAGAGGGCUGAGGUUGUGGCUCAGUGGUAGAGCGCUUGCCUAGCACGUGUGAGGCAUUGGGUUCCAUCCCCAGCACCACAUAAAAAUAAAAGUUAUGGUGUCCAUCUACAACUAAAAAAAAUUUUUUAAAAACUUAGAAUAAUUCAUGUACUGGAAGUCCAACUCUCACUGUAGAUACUGAACUCCAUGAAAAGAUCUUCCACAGUGGUACUGAUCACUUGAUCAAAUCACUUAGUGUAGUUGAGUUGAAUUCUGUCUCAAUCUUCUAACAAGUCCUUUCCUAUGGCUUUAUUAGGUAAGUUUUCUCAGUGCCAGAUCCGAUAGCCAUGUGCUUCAACUCACCUCUAGCACAUAUUGACAGAUUUCAUUAACCUUUGUCUCUGAGAUUGGUAUUUUCUUUAGGUACUGAGUUGAACCCAGGGGCACUUUACCACUAAGCUACAUCUCAGUUCUUUUCAUUUUUUAUUUUGACAUACAGUCUCACAAAGUUGGUGAAGUUCUUGCUAAAUUUCUGAGGUAGACCUCAAACUUGAGCUCCUCCUGCCUCAGUCUCCUGGGUCGUUGGAAUUACAGGCAUGUGCCACUGCCCCUGGCAGAUUUGAUAUUUUCAAAAGUAAAACAGGAAUGAUAGUACUGACUUCAUAGGAUUGUUGUGAAGAUGAAUUGAGACUGUGUUAGCAGUGCCUGCUUCAUGCUGAGUAUUAAAAAUAUAUACAAAAUUCACAAAAUAGUAAACAAUUGAACAUAGAUUCAAAAGUACCUUUUUAGACUUAGGAAGUUUGAAUUUAGCUACCAAAAAAUAUGCCUUUAACAUAAUCCUUUUUUGUGGUUUCAUGUUCAUUUCAAGGAAAUACCGAUCCAAGUUAUAUCAAUGCUGCAUUUCUCCAUAGUAAACAGAUUUUUUUUUAAGUUGUUUAAAUGACAGUAAAAGGUUGAAUGUUAACAAGGAUUGACUUGAAAGCCAAGUUUCCUCUUUAUAAAACAAAGUCUAUUGGAACUUAUUUAUAAACAAAACAGAAAAAAGCCCUGGCAUUUGCUGAGACGGCUCUCUCUCUAGGGGUCCAUUUAAUUACAGGAGGCGUGCUUCUAAGACUGGUCCUCACAACUGAGGCCACGAGCCAGUCAGCUUUGCAUUGCUGUGAUCAAAAUGCCUGACAAAACAACUCAGACACAUAAUAAAAGAACAAAUUAGAAUUCAGACACUGAGAGGAGGAAGAGUUCAUUUUAGUUCCUGGUGUCAGUCCAUCAAGGGCCAGAUCCGUCCCUCGGACCCGGGUGAGGAAGGACAUGGAGGAAGGACCUGCUAAGAGAAGCUGCUCGGCUCGCUGCCUACACGCCCUGCCUCAACCUGCCACAUUGGGGACCGUGCUUCUAACACAUGAUGAGUGUUUGUGGGAAUAUUCCAGAUACAAACCGUAUCAAAAUUUUACUCAGCAAACGUAAUUAAGUGAACCUUUGUUUUCCCUCAAGGCAACCAUGUUUCAAAACAUUUUGAAAUGCACAGUAAUUUAAUUAUAGGUCUGGGUUUAUUUGAAAACAUUUGAGUUUUCAGUUGCAUUUUUUAAUUCAGGUUUUACAUAUGUGCCCUUAAGUGUUAAUUAUUGUGAUAUUCAUAAGAAUGUCUAGAAAAUCAAAACAUGAUUUAAGCUGUUAGAAAAGAUGCCACCCUUUUAAAACAUUUUGUCAGUGUCAGUGUCAGUUUUGAGAGAAAACUCAAGUCAGGCAUGUGGUGUACACCUGUAAUCCCAGCAAUCAGAGAGGCUGAGACAAGAGGAUCACAAGUUUGAGACCAGCCUCAGCACCUUAGUGAGAUCCUGUCUCUAAAUAAAAAUUAAGCCCAGUGGUAAAGCACCCCGGGGUUAAAUGUCCAGUACCAAAAAAAGAAAGAAAUCUAGCACCACAUGGGAUAUCAAAAUGUUGGGGUAAAUUUGGCUAGAAGCAUGCACUUAAUCAUUCAGAAGUAUGUAAUUCCUCAAGAACAAAGUUCACCUCAGAAAUCUUUGAGUUCCGUAUAACUGGUAAAUUCCAUGUUCCUGGUACAAGCCAUCGUCAACAGUAGCUGCCCCCUAUCUGAGACGAAACUGUCGUUUUGUGGGUUGGCUGUGGACAGACAUGGCGCUCCUGCUGUCUUCCGAAUGAUGCCAGCCAGGCCCCUGCCCUCUGCGCUCCUGCGGGAUGCAGGCCCCCUGUAGGCUCUGGCUUGCCUCGGCCUUGGAGAGCAGAGGUACGUGGAAGCCCGAGUCCCGGGAGGGCGCCGGCAGCCACCUGGGAGGGAGACGCCAACGGGGUGCCAGGACGGGACAGCGCUGUGGGGGUCAGGCUUGUCGCGCCUGCAGGGCUCAGUGAGGGCAGAGGUUCGAGGGCUUCGGUGCCACCCGUGCUGGGCAUCCUGCUCACCCUCAGCCUCCGCUGCGACCUCUCAGUGAUGGCAAUAGCGUCCUUUCCUCAGUCACUGACAGUGCCUACCCCUGAGUGGCAGGAAGGUGCCGGAAGAAACAGAUGGACAACUCGGGGAAGACAAAACGUGCACAGGACCGAAGAAAACCAGGGGCCUUCAUGUAGGAGGCGAACCUCAAGCUUAUGGACACUGAAUGCCGUGGCAACUCAGAAGAGAAGAGAAGGAGACCCGAGCGCACAGCCUGUCCCCACCCUGCCUUCCGCCUGCCCAGCCCCACCACUCACCCAGCAUGAGUCCGCUUCUUGUUGGACUGAGGAUUGAACCCAGGGGUGCUCUACCACUGAGCUACGUCCCCAGUCUUUUUUAUUUUUUUAUUUUCAGACAGGAUCUUGCUAAGUUGCUGAGGCUGGUCUUGAACUUGAGAGCCUCCUGCCACAACCUCCUGAGUCACUGGGAUUACAGACAGGUGCCGCCACGCUCGGUUGGCAUGUCGAUGGAAAGUAGAACAUAAGCUGAACUCUUUUAGAAAGUUCUAGAAGAGAUGGAGAGAAACAGUGGAUAGUGUUAAUCCCUAACUGCUCUGCAGUUUCCACUGCUGGGCGCUGCCGAGCCCUCCCUAAGCAGGGUGGGAUGCACGCUCUCCUGGCUGCCUCUACGCCUCCAUAGCGCCCACUCUGCUGCUGCCUUACCUGUGGUAGAACUGGCCGCACAGGGUGGGGAAUGCCGUCGAUUCGUGUUCUGAGUGCUCUGAGAUGAAAUACACCUUUUUUCUGGGUCGUCACAUCCCCAAAGUGUCAUAAAGCUUAUACAAAUGGGAUUCCAGCUCGGACGGACCAGAGGACACAACGUGGACUCUCCAGUCCCACAGACCUGGCUUCUCCAGCAGUGUGGCUGGGGACAAGUCAGCACCUCUGAGCCUAACUCACUGUAGUCUGGAGGAUUAAAUGCGGUAAUCUAUGUAAAAUCCUUCACACAAAUUGGUCUUGAUUAGAAUUGCAAUGUCUCCAUAUCUGUAGAAAGCACACAUCUCUGUUACUAACCAACCUCUAAUGUUGCAGAACUUAAUACAGGAUUACUCUAAAGUGGAAACUUUCUAGUGUCCUCUCAUGGGUGACUGUUCAUAAGAAAAACUCCCAGGCAUUUUAAAUGUCUCUGCCUUUUGGGGGCCGAGAAGGGGGAUUGGGAUUGAACCCACGGGCACUACUACAACCCCGGGGUCUUUUUUUUUUUUUUUUUUUUUAAUGUGAGACAAGGUCUUUCCCAUGCUGUCUUCAAACUUGCCAUCCUCCUGCCUCAGUUUCCCAAGUCACUGGGAUUACAGGCAUGGCCACCAUACCCAACAAGAUAUCCCUGCUUUUUAAGCCCAUGAACAAAAAUAUUCCUUCACUUGUCAUUUCAAUCAAAAUGCACCUAGUUUUCUUGCUUUAUUCAUAAACUUAGAAAAAAAUCUGUCCUCAAUUCACCCUAAUUAAAACAAUGGAGUUGGUUUUGGUGGUGCACACCUGUAAUCCCAGCUAUUGAGGAGGUUGAGGUAGGAGGAUCUCAAAUUUGAGACCAGCCUCAGCAACUUUGGGACAACCUGUCUCAAAAUAAAAAGCACUGGAGAUGUAGCUCAGUGGUAGAUCACUCCUGGAUCCAAUUCCAAAUACAACAAAUGAAAGGAAAAAAAAAAGGAAUCAGCCACCAUCUUUCUUUCCACUAACUUGUAAAAACCCUCCCGGCAGGCGGCUCUGCA
Molecule: long non-coding RNA, 4810 nt
Organism: Sciurus carolinensis (gray squirrel)
Lineage: Eukaryota; Metazoa; Chordata; Mammalia; Rodentia; Sciuridae
Exons: 2
Source: RefSeq, a predicted model, not a curated record